GGAUUGUAGCUCAGGGGUAGAGCACUUGCCUAGCAUGCAUGAGGCACUGGGUUCAAUUCUCAGCACCA
RNAcentral lists this transfer RNA (68 nucleotides) under Marmota monax (woodchuck). RNAcentral describes it as "tRNA.Ala". The stretch from base 5 to 65 matches the Rfam family "tRNA", at positions 6 to 65 of the family's 71-position model. Rfam says of the family: Transfer RNA (tRNA) molecules are approximately 80 nucleotides in length. Their secondary structure includes four short double-helical elements and three loops (D, anti-codon, and T loops). Lineage: Eukaryota; Metazoa; Chordata; Mammalia; Rodentia; Sciuridae. The record is from RNAcentral.